UGGGAGGAAGGGCUGGCAUCGGUCUGCACAGGAGACAGAUUCUUUCUGUACAGAGUUCACUUUGCCGCUGCAUUACUGGCUGAAGUGGCGUGGGCAUGGCAUCCCGCCUUUGUAAGCCGGUAGCAGUCACAGGUGACCACGUGGGUUUGGUGCAACACUUCCAGGGCACCAGGGGUCAUUCAGGGCACUCAGCUGUUUACCUUCCCUCAACAGUGUUUCUCUGUAGCCCUGGGUGUCCUUAAACUGAGUCUGUAGACCAGGCUGGGCCAAGUCUCUGCUUUUUGUCCAUUUGCUUGGCUCGGUUCGGUUUGGUUUUUUGAGGUAGUUUCUUUGUGUAUCCCUGACUGUCCUGGAACUCACUCCAUAGACCAGACUGGCCUCUAGUUCAGGGAUCUGCCUGCCUGUGCUGGGAUUAAAGGUGUGACCACCACACCCAGCAAGUCCUCAGUUCUUAAGCAAAUACAUUAUAAAAGUAAUUGCUCACCUUGGCCAAACCUUAUCAUGGGUAAGUGGGUUACACAGAGAGCUGGGUAGCUUUUGCGGUGCCAUCUAGCAGUGUGGAAGUCACAGCAUGGACCGAGGUUAACAUGGAGGUUAACAUUCAUCUGCCUCCCUCAUUCAAUGUCCAGCAUGUCUCCCGCUGUUAGACCCUCACCAAUGCUUUUCACCUGGAUUGGGGUCCAUGUUAAAAGUUUCCAGACCUGGGGUUGGGGAUUUUAGCUCAGUGGUAGAGCACUUGCCUAGGAAGCUCAAGGCCCUGGGUUCGGUCCCCAGCUCCGAAAAAAAGAACCAAAAAAAAAAAAAAAAAAAGUUUCCAGAGCUGAGCCCUGGGAGCUCUUGAACUUUGCCAGAUUAAACGUGUUGCUGAUGCUAGAACUGGGUCUCCUUGGAGCCUCACUGGACUUUCUCGCCAGGGUUUACUGGGUGGGAAAUGAUCAUUUAUGUUCCUCCUGUCUGUUACACCAAGGACUCGCUCUCCUCCUCAUCUGCAUCUUCUCUGCUAGCCUUGUGGGAGGACGUAAGUGACGGCAGCUCCCCUUCCUUGGGCUGCUCAGAGACAGUGCCCUGUGUGCUCUGACUUCUGAGUCUGUGUCCUUUGAUUAACAACUAAGGAAACGGCUUUUACGCCUCUAAAAAUUACUUCAUUGGCUUGCUCUUCCCUCACCAGCUGGAUCGCUGACCUGUUUAACUUGCCUGUGGGUGGUACUCGUGUUUACUACCUUUGCUCACUAUCUAAUUAAUGUCCCUGUCCUCGGAGGAUUCGUUUACCAGCCCUAGCCUGCAGUACUCAGUUGUACCUGUGCUGUGUCCCCAGCCCUCCUCCCCUCGGAAUGCUGGGUCUUCCUCAGGUCUGAUCUGCAGCUGAGGUGCUCACCUGUACCACUAGAUCAGGAGCAGAACACAGUUCAGCUGGGGAUUCGUAGACUCUUCCGUACAUUACCAAGGGAUACCCACUGUGCCCAUGUGGUGCUGUAUCAGGGCUACACCCACAGAAAGGUUCACCCCAGACAGCAGCUAAUCAUGCGGUGCCUGUAAGUGCUGGGAUUGUUAGAGGGAAACCCUGUGUU
RNAcentral lists this long non-coding RNA (1568 nucleotides) under Rattus norvegicus (Norway rat). Its description in RNAcentral is "long non-coding RNA NONRATT024677". The record is from RNAcentral. Lineage: Eukaryota; Metazoa; Chordata; Mammalia; Rodentia; Muridae.